GACGAACGCUGGCGGCGUGCUUAACACAUGCAAGUCGAGCGGUAAGGCCUUUCGGGGUACACGAGCGGCGAACGGGUGAGUAACACGUGAGUGAUCUGCCCUGCACUUCGGGAUAAGCCUGGGAAACUGGGUCUAAUACCGGAUAUGACCUCCUAUCGCAUGGUGGGUGGUGGAAAGAUUUAUCGGUGCAGGAUGGGCCCGCGGCCUAUCAGCUUGUUGGUGGGGUAAUGGCCUACCAAGGCGACGACGGGUAGCCGACCUGAGAGGGUGACCGGCCACACUGGGACUGAGACACGGCCCAGACUCCUACGGGAGGCAGCAGUGGGGAAUAUUGCACAAUGGGCGAAAGCCUGAUGCAGCGACGCCGCGUGAGGGAUGACGGCCUUCGGGUUGUAAACCUCUUUCAGCAGGGACGAAGCGCAAGUGACGGUACCUGCAGAAGAAGCACCGGCUAACUACGUG
RNAcentral lists this ribosomal RNA (462 nucleotides) under uncultured bacterium. Its description in RNAcentral is "partial 16S ribosomal RNA". It matches the Rfam family "Bacterial small subunit ribosomal RNA", at positions 28 to 507 of the family's 1533-position model. The record is from RNAcentral.